AAGAAAAAUACUACGUAAAGAAAAGGGGGGUAUGAAAUAUCCAUAGUUGAUGCAUCAGAUGGACGCCAAGUGAUUGAUAUUAUACCUCCCGGACCAGAACUUCUUGUUUCAGAGGGGGAAUCCAUCAAGCUUGAUCAACCAUUAACAAGCAAUCCUAAUGUGGGAGGUUUUGGUCAGGGGGACGCAGAAAUCGUGCUUCAGGAUCCAUUACGUGUCCAAGGCCUUUUGUUCUUCUUCGCAUCCGUUAUUUUGGCACAAGUUUUUUUGGUUCUCAAAAAGAAACUGUUUGAAAAGGUUCAAUUGUACGAAAUGAAUUUCUAG
Molecule: ribosomal RNA, 321 nt
Filed under: Triticum aestivum (bread wheat)
Lineage: Eukaryota; Viridiplantae; Streptophyta; Magnoliopsida; Poales; Poaceae
Description: partial small subunit ribosomal RNA
Source: RNAcentral